CAAUAGCGUAUAUUUAAGUUGUUGCAGUUAAAAAGCUCGUAGUUGGAUUUCGGGUGGGACGCAGCGGUCUCGCAUUGCGUUUGUACUGCUGCAGCCCUCCUUCUUGCCGGGGGCGGCCUCUCGGACUUCACUGUCUGGGGGUCAGAAUCGGCGAUGUUACUUUGAGUAAAUUAGAGUGUUCAAAGCAAGCUUACGCUCUGAAUAUAAUAGCAUGGGAUAACACGACAGGACUCUGGCCUAUCGUGUUGGUCUAUAGGACCAGAGUAAUGAUUAAGAGGGAUAGUCGGGGGCAUUCGUAUUCCGUUGUCAGAGGUGAAAUUCUUGGAUUUACGGAAGACGAACAUCUGCGAAAGCAUUUGCCAAGGAUGUUUNCAUUGA
Molecule: ribosomal RNA, 378 nt
Filed under: uncultured eukaryote
Lineage: Eukaryota
Description: partial 18S ribosomal RNA
Rfam family: Eukaryotic small subunit ribosomal RNA
Source: RNAcentral